GAUGAACGCUGGCGGCGUGCUUAACACAUGCAAGUCGAACGGAAAGGCCCAAGCUUGCUUGGGUGCUCGAGUGGCGAACGGGUGAGUAACACGGGGGUGAUCUGCCCUGCACUUUGGGAUAAGCCUGGGAAACUGGGUCUAAUACCGGAUAGGACCAUCGUUUAGUGUCGGUGGUGGAAAGUUUUUCGGUGUGGGAUGAGCUCGCGGCCUAUCAGCUUGUUGGUGGGGUAAUGGCCUACCAAGGCGUCGACGGGUAGCCGGCCUGAGAGGGUGUACGGCCACAUUGGGACUGAGAUACGGCCCAGACUCCGACGGGAGGCAGCAGUGGGGAAUAUUGCACAAUGGGCGCAAGCCUGAUGCAGCGACGCCGCGUGGGGGAUGACGGACUUCGGGUUGUAAACUCCUUUCGCCAAGGACGAAGCGUUUUGUGACGGUACUUGGAGAAGAAGCACCGGCUAACUACGUG
This 466-nucleotide ribosomal RNA is filed under the name uncultured bacterium. RNAcentral describes it as "partial 16S ribosomal RNA". It matches the Rfam family "Bacterial small subunit ribosomal RNA", at positions 28 to 507 of the family's 1533-position model. The record is from RNAcentral.